AUUAUGGCUCAGGAUGAACGCUAGCGACAGGCCUAACACAUGCAAGUCGAGGGGCAGCGCGGGAGAAGCUUGCUUUCCUGGCGGCGACCGGCGCACGGGUGCGUAACAGGUGUGCAAUCUGUCCAUAGUCGGGGAAUAGCCCAGCGAAAGUUGGAUUAAUGCUCCAUGUGAAUCGAGACCGCAUGAUUUUGAUUUGAAACGUAAGGACUAUGGGUGAGCACGCUUCUGAUUAGAUAGUUGGUGAGGUAACGGCUCACCAAGUCGACGAUCAGUAGGGGUUCUGAGAGGAAGGUCCCCCACAUUGGAACUGAGACACGGUCCAAACUCCUACGGGAGGCAGCAGUGAGGAAUAUUGGUCAAUGGGCGAGAGCCUGAACCAGCCAAGUCGCGUGAAGGAUGAAGGUUCUAUGGAUUGUAAACUUCUUUUGUCCGAGGGUAAAAAAGGCUACGUGUAGCUUCUUGCAAGUAUCGGACGAAUAAGCAUCGGCUAACUCCGUGCCAGCCGCCGC
Molecule: ribosomal RNA, 509 nt
Filed under: uncultured bacterium
Lineage: Bacteria
Description: bacterial SSU rRNA
Rfam family: Bacterial small subunit ribosomal RNA
Source: RNAcentral